Molecule: ribosomal RNA, 492 nt
Filed under: uncultured bacterium
Lineage: Bacteria
Description: partial 16S ribosomal RNA
Rfam family: Bacterial small subunit ribosomal RNA
Source: RNAcentral
AGUGAACGCUGGCGGUAGGCCUAACACAUGCAAGUCGAACGGCAGCAUAGUAAGAGCUUGCUCUUACGGGUGGCGAGUGGCGGACGGGUGAGGAAUACAUCGGAAUCUACUUUUUCGUGGGGGAUAACGUAGGGAAACUUACGCUAAUACCGCAUACGACCUACGGGUGAAAGCAGGGGAUCUUCGGACCUUGCGCGAUUGAAUGAGCCGAUGUCGGAUUAGCUAGUUGGCGGGGUAAAGGCCCACCAAGGCGACGAUCCGUAGCUGGUCUGAGAGGAUGAUCAGCCACACUGGAACUGAGACACGGUCCAGACUCCUACGGGAGGCAGCAGUGGGGAAUAUUGGACAAUGGGCGCAAGCCUGAUCCAGCCAUACCGCGUGAGUGAAGAAGGCCUUCGGGUUGUAAAGCCCUUUUGUUGGGAAAGAAAAGCAGCAGAUUUAUACCCCGCUGUUCUGACGGUACCCAAAGAAUAAGCACCGGCUAACUUCGUG